RNAcentral lists this ribosomal RNA (496 nucleotides) under uncultured bacterium. Its description in RNAcentral is "bacterial SSU rRNA". It matches the Rfam family "Bacterial small subunit ribosomal RNA", at positions 336 to 845 of the family's 1533-position model. The record is from RNAcentral.
CCCUUACGGGAGGCAGCAGCAAGGAAUUUUCCGCAAUGGACACAUGUCUGACGGAGCAACGCCGUGUGCAGGUCGUCGGCCUUCGGGUUGUAAACUGCUUUUGGGUGGGACGAUGAUGACGGUACCACCCGAAUAAGCCCCGGCUAACUCCGUGCCAGCAGCCGCGGUAAGACGGAGGGGGCAAGCGUUGUCCGGACUCACUGGGCGUAAAGCGUGCGUAGGUGGUGCGAUGCGUCGGCGCUGAAAGCCGGCUUAACCGGGCGACGGGCGACGAUACGAUCGCACUGGAGGCAGGGAGACGUUGAGUGGGAAUUCCGGGUGUAGUGGUGAAAUGCGUAGAGAUCCCGAGGAAUGCCGGUGGCGUAAGCGGCCAACGAGUCCUGACCUGACACUGAGGCACGAAAGCGUGGGGAGCAAACCGCGAUUAGAUACCCGGGUAGUCCACGCCGUAAACGAUGUCGGCUAGGUGUGUGAUCGAGGGUGACCGAUGGCGGUG